AACGAACGCUGGCGGCAUGCCUAACACAUGCAAGUCGAACGAGACCUUCGGGUCUAGUGGCGCACGGGUGCGUAACAAGUGGGAACCUGCCCUUAGGUUAGGAAUAACUCCCCGAGAGGUGUGCUAAUACCGGAUAAUGUCUUCGGACCAAAGAUUUAUCGCCUUUGGAUGGGCCCGCGUUGGAUUAGCUAGUUGGUAGGGUAAAAGCCUACCAAGGCGACGAUCCAUAGCUGGUCUGAUAGGAUGAUCAGCCACACUGGGACUGAGACACGGCCUAGACUCCUACGGGAGGCAGCAGUGGGGAAUAUUGGACAAUGGGCGAAAGCCUGAUCCAGCAAUGCCGCGUGAGUGAUGAAGGCCUUAGGGUUGUAAAGCUCUUUUACCCGGGAUGAUAAUGACAGUACCGGGAGAAUAAGCUCCGGCUAACUCCGUG
Molecule: ribosomal RNA, 433 nt
Filed under: uncultured bacterium
Lineage: Bacteria
Description: partial 16S ribosomal RNA
Rfam family: Bacterial small subunit ribosomal RNA
Source: RNAcentral